Molecule: ribosomal RNA, 112 nt
Filed under: Caerostris darwini
Lineage: Eukaryota; Metazoa; Arthropoda; Arachnida; Araneae; Araneidae
Source: RNAcentral
AACGGCCAUACCAUGCUGAAUAUACCGGUUCUCGUUAGAUCACCGAAGUUAAGCAUCAUUGGGCGCGGUCAGUACUUGGGUGGGUGACCACCUGGGAACACUGCGUGCCGCU